GCUGGUGAUUAUAGCGGAGGGGCCACACCCGUUCCCAUCUCGAACACGGCAGUUAAGUCCUCCAGCGUCGAUGGUACUGGGACUUUGUUCUCGGGAGAGUAGAACGUUGCCAGCC
RNAcentral lists this ribosomal RNA (115 nucleotides) under Candidatus Auribacterota bacterium. The record is from RNAcentral. Lineage: Bacteria; Pseudomonadati; Candidatus Auribacterota.